CGGAAACUGGGGAUAAUACCCCAUAGAUCAGGGAUGCUGGAAUGCCUCCUGGUCGAAAGGUGCGCCGCCUGAGGAUGGGUCUGCGGCCGAUUAGGUUGUUGUUGGGGUAACGGCCCAACAAGCCGGUAAUCGGUACGGGUUGUGGGAGCAAGAGCCCGGAGAUGGAUUCUGAGACACGAAUCCAGGCCCUACGGGGCGCAGCAGGCGCGAAAACUUUACAAUGCGGGAAACCGUGAUAAGGGAACUCCGAGUGCCCGUAAAAUCGGGCUGUCCAUCAGUGUAAAAAACUGGUGAAGAAAGGGCCGGGCAAGACCGGUGCCAGCCGCCGCGGUAAUACCGGCGGCUCGAGUGGUGGCCACUAUUACUGGGCUUAAAGCGUCCGUAGCAGGGUUGUUAAGUCUCUUGGGAAAUCUACCGGCUCAACCGAUAGGCGUUCAGGGGAUACUGGCAACCUAGGGACCGGAAGAGGUGAGAGGUACUCCAGGGGUAGGAGUGAAAUCCUGUAAUCCUUGGGGGACCACCUGUGGCGAAGGCGUCCCACCAGGACGGCUCCGACUGUGAGGGACGAAAGCUGGGGGAGCAAACCGGAUUAGAUACCCGGGUAGUCCCAGCUGUAAACGAUGCGCGUUAGGUGUAUCGGUGACCACGAGUCACCGAGGUGCCGAAGAGAAAUCGUGAAACGUGCCGCCUGGGAAGUACGGUCGCAAGGCUGAAACUUAAAGGAA
Molecule: ribosomal RNA, 725 nt
Filed under: uncultured archaeon
Lineage: Archaea
Description: bacterial SSU rRNA
Rfam family: Archaeal small subunit ribosomal RNA
Source: RNAcentral